Molecule: long non-coding RNA, 481 nt
Filed under: Solanum tuberosum (potato)
Lineage: Eukaryota; Viridiplantae; Streptophyta; Magnoliopsida; Solanales; Solanaceae
Description: long non-coding RNA (STUB_LNC000189)
Source: RNAcentral
GAUAAUACUAAUAAUACUCAAAAAGGGACUACGAAUCUCGUAACAAAUGAAAAUCAUGAAGGGAUGUGUUGUUGAUGAACAUGAGUUUCCUGGUUUCCAAACUUGUAUUAUACCAAAAGAUGAAUUUGCAAUAGUAAAAAGGCCACUAAGCAGGUUGCAAAGGCGCGCGCCUCGCCCUCUUCAGCUCAAGCCCAGCAGCAGCAGCAACAACAACUCUCUUGAUUAUAAAGGUGCAUUGUUAAAUAAGCUAAUGGAUUCAUCUGGAUCUGAAUCUUCUGCUUCGUAUUUGUCUUGUUGUCAUAGUAAAGAUCCAAUUCCUUUGCUUUCUCCCCUUGUGUUGCCUUCAUUGCUUGAAUCUACAACAAAAUCUUAUUGAUUUUAGCUUUGGAUAGUUAUGUACAUUGGAUAGAUUUUUCUCAUUGUUGGUAUAUGAACAAAAAUUGCAAAACUCCUUAUGUUGCAUAUUAUUGACUCUUCCAUA